AACCUAGCACACCUGCGGUGUGUACCUGCGGAAGGAUCAUUAACAAGCCGUGGGGGUCACCCCGAAAGGGGCAGAUCUCUCACCCGGCCACCCUUGUUUACUUUAUGCCUGUUGCUUUGGUGGGCCCGCCGUAAGGCCGCCGGGGAAACUGAGUUUCCGGGCUCGUGUCUGCCAAGGUUUUUAAAUCUCCAAGGUGUUUUGAAUGUCUGAGUGGCAAAGCAAAAACUAAUAAAAAACUUU
RNAcentral lists this unclassified non-coding RNA (240 nucleotides) under soil metagenome. RNAcentral's name for it is "partial contains 5.8S ribosomal RNA, internal transcribed spacer 2, and large subunit ribosomal RNA". The record is from RNAcentral.